UGGCGUCAGGACGAACGGCUGGCGGCGUGCUUAACACAUGCAAGUCGAGCGAUGAAGCUCUUCGGAAGUGGAUUAGCGGCGGACGGGUGAGUAACACGUGGGUAACCUGCCUCAUAGAGGGGAAUAGCCUUCCGAAAGGAAGAUUAAUACCGCAUAAGAUUGUAAUAUUGCAUGAUAUAGCAAUUAAAGGAGUAAUCCGCUAUGAGAUGGACCCGCGUCGCAUUAGCUAGUUGGUGAGGUAACGGCUCACCAAGGCGACGAUGCGUAGCCGACCUGAGAGGGUGAUCGGCCACAUUGGGACUGAGACACGGCCCAGACUCCUACGGGAGGCAGCAGUGGGGAAUAUUGCACAAUGGGGGAAACCCUGAUGCAAGCAACGCCGCGUGAGUGAUGACGGUCUUCGGAUUGUAAAGCUCUGUCUUCAGGGACGAUAAUGACGGUACCUGAGGAGGAAGCCACGGCUAACUACGUGCCAGCCGCCGC
RNAcentral lists this ribosomal RNA (483 nucleotides) under uncultured bacterium. RNAcentral's name for it is "bacterial SSU rRNA". It matches the Rfam family "Bacterial small subunit ribosomal RNA", at positions 19 to 518 of the family's 1533-position model. The record is from RNAcentral.